RNAcentral lists this ribosomal RNA (549 nucleotides) under uncultured bacterium. RNAcentral's name for it is "bacterial SSU rRNA". It matches the Rfam family "Bacterial small subunit ribosomal RNA", at positions 355 to 896 of the family's 1533-position model. The record is from RNAcentral.
UGGGGAAUCUUCCGCAAUGGACGAAAGUCUGACGGAGCAACGCCGCGUGAGUGAUGACGGCCUUCGGGUUGUAAAGCUCUGUUAAUCGGGACGAAUGGUUCUUGUGCGAAUAGUGCGAGGAUUUGACGGUACCGGAAUAGAAAGCCACGGCUAACUACGUGCCAGCAGCCGCGGUAAUACGUAGGUGGCAAGCGUUGUCCGGAAUUAUUGGGCGUAAAGCGCGCGCAGGUGGUUUAAUAAGUCUGAUGUGAAAGCCCACGGCUCAACCGUGGAGGGUCAUUGGAAACUGUUAAACUUGAGUGCAGGAGAGAAAAGUGGAAUUCCUAGUGUAGCGGUGAAAUGCGUAGAGAUUAGGAGGAACACCAGCGGCGAAGGCGGCUUUUUGGCCUGUAACUGACACUGAGGCGCGAAAGCGUGGGGAGCAAACAGGAUUAGAUACCCUGGUAGUCCACGCCGUAAACGAUGAGUGCUAAGUGUUGGUCUCAUAAGAGAUCAGUGCUGCAGCUAACGCAUUAAGCACUCCGCCUGGGGAGUACGACCGCAAGGUUG